Non-coding RNA from Sus scrofa (pig), 1796 nucleotides. The record is from RefSeq and is a predicted model, not a curated record. Lineage: Eukaryota; Metazoa; Chordata; Mammalia; Artiodactyla; Suidae.
AAGUCUCCAAGGAGGUGGUACUUGUAAAGUACACGGCAGGUGCUUUAUAAAUGCUUAAGUGUUUAAACGGACCCAAACAGGGAGCAGAAUCAACAGGGAGUGUCUUGUCAUUCUCAGCCAUUCACUAAGCACCCACCAUGUGCCAGAGCUGGGCGGGGACCAGGAAGGCCCCCAUGGGUAAGAUGCAGAAACAUAGGCCCACGGAGAAAGGGUGAACGGGUGCCAGGGCCCAGAUGGUGGCUAAUUGCUGACUUAGGCUUCUCCACCCAGAGGCCCAGAGAGACAAAGUCCAGAGCUACACGCCUUGGCGGCUGGGAGGCCCUGCCCUCCUGUCCUCAAAGCCAUCUCCCCUCCUCCAUCGUGGAAGUUGGCCUCCUAUGGCCUGAGGGGUUCAAUUUUAUGAGGGGGUCCAGGCGCCAGGGAACAAGGCUAUUUCCUGGCAUGAAGCUGAGAAUGGGAGCAAAGACUGGAAUAUUAUGCAGCCAUGAAUAGCAGAGAAGCACCAACACUGGCUACAUGGAUGGACCCUGAAAACACGAUGCUCGGAACCAGGCUCUGCCAAGAGAUGGCUGAUGCCAAGAGAUGGCUGAUGCCAAGAGUGGAACAGGAAAGGGACAAGAUGAGCUUGGAACAUCUUGUAGGACCAGAACAGAAGGUGAAGAUGGGGGCCACUUUAGAGGAGCUUCUAAAUAGGGGACUAAUUAGGCAACAGUUUGAGCCUCUCAGUAAAUAAUACCAGAUAGUUGCCCAUGGCAACCAUUGUGCUAAUGAUUCAGGUGAGAAUGCUAAAAUGGAUUAGUGAAAGUUUGAUGAGAGACAGGAUAUAUACAUGAUCCCAAAGCACAUCUUCACCAGAUACUCAUUACUUACAAAGGGAAGAUAGCAACCACCAUGACCCAGAUCACAUCACCAGAAAUGAGACAAAGGGACAUAAAUGCACCUCCUAAUAUGAUGCACUGAGGAAGACACAGCAUCACUUCUGAAAUGUUCCCGUCAAAGAUGCACAAUGAAUCUGAUCGAGAGGCAACAGCAGAAAAAUCCAAACUGAGGGACAGUCUACAGAACAACUAGGCAAAGACGCCAAUGUCUUGAAUACAAAGCAAGUCUCAGGAACUGUUCUAGAUGGAAGGAAACUAACAGAUCUAAAUGCACUUUGCAAUCAGGAUUUUCUUUUACUAUAAAGGACAUUAUUGGGGCAACUGUGAAAUCCGAAUAUAGACCACGGAUUAGGUAAAAAAUAUUGUCAACAUUUUUUUUGGCUGUGCCCACGAUAUACAAAAAUUCCCAGGUCAGGGAUCAAACCCAAGUCACAGCAAUGACCACUGGAUCUUUAACCCACUGAGCCACCAGGGAACUCUUCCAUAUUAUUUUCUUGAUCACUUAUUUUGGACCGUUACACUGCGGUUCUGUAAGAGCAUAUCCUUGUUUGUAGAAAAUACCAACCAUGGAGAAUUUGGGGGUAAAGUACUAUUAUGCUUGCAACAAAGUCUUGAAUGGAUUAAAAAUAAAAAAGGAGAAGUUCCCUGGUAGCUCAGUGAGUUAAGGAUCCAGGAGUUGUCAUUGCUGUAGUGUGGGUUUGAUCCCUAGCCUGGGAAUUUCCACAUGCCCCAGGUGUGGUCUAAAGAAAGAAAGAAAGAAAGGAGGGGAAGAGUGAGAGAGGGUGCAAACUUGGUAAAUAUUCACAUUUGUAGAGUUCCCGUCCUGGCUCAGCGGAAACGAAUCCAACUGGGAACCAUGAGGUUGCUGGUUCGAUCCUGGGCCUCGCUCAGUGGGCUAAGGAUCCGGCAUUGCCAUGA